Molecule: ribosomal RNA, 123 nt
Filed under: Salmonella enterica
Lineage: Bacteria; Pseudomonadati; Pseudomonadota; Gammaproteobacteria; Enterobacterales; Enterobacteriaceae
Also listed under: 4 other names
Description: partial 23S ribosomal RNA
Rfam family: Bacterial large subunit ribosomal RNA
Source: RNAcentral
GUUCUCCCUGAGACUUAGAGUCUCCUGAAGGAACGUUGAAGACGACGACGUUGAUAGGCCGGGUGUGUAAGCGCAGCGAUGCGUUGAGCUAACCGGUACUAAUGAACCGUGAGGCUUAACCUU